Molecule: ribosomal RNA, 253 nt
Filed under: uncultured bacterium
Lineage: Bacteria
Description: partial 16S ribosomal RNA
Rfam family: Bacterial small subunit ribosomal RNA
Source: RNAcentral
UACAGAGGUCCCAAGCGUUGUUCGGAUUCACUGGGCGUAAAGGGUGCGUAGGUGGCCAGGUAAGUUCGGUGUGAAAGCUCGGAGCUCAACUCCGAAAAGGCAUUGAAUACUAUCUGGCUGGAGGGUCGGAGGGGAGACUGGAAUUCUCGGUGUAGCAGUGAAAUGCGUAGAGAUCGGGAGGAAUACCAGUGGCGAAGGCGGCCGGCUGGGCCACGACCGACACUGAGGUGCGAAAGCGUGGGGAGCGAACCGG